RNAcentral lists this ribosomal RNA (526 nucleotides) under uncultured prokaryote. RNAcentral's name for it is "bacterial SSU rRNA". It matches the Rfam family "Bacterial small subunit ribosomal RNA", at positions 395 to 905 of the family's 1533-position model. The record is from RNAcentral.
UGCAGGGUUCCUACAUGCAAACGCAAAGGAAUGGACGGUCAGACUCCUGGAGGAGUAAACAAACGGUUGCAUUUAACACCUGCGACUAAUGACGGUACCUUCAGAAGAAGCACCGGCUAACUACGUGCCAGCAGCCGCGGUAAUACGUAGGGUGCGAGCGUUAAUCGGAAUUACUGGGCGUAAAGCGUGCGCAGGCGGUUUUGUAAGUCAGAUGUGAAAGCCCCGGGCUCAACCUGGGAACUGCGUUUGAAACUACAAGGCUAGAGUGUAGCAGAGGGGGGUAGAAUUCCACGUGUAGCAGUGAAAUGCGUAGAGAUGUGGAGGAAUACCGAUGGCGAAGGCAGCCCCCUGGGUUAACACUGACGCUCAUGUACGAAAGCGUGGGGAGCAAACAGGAUUAGAUACCCUGGUAGUCCACGCCCUAAACGAUGUCAACUAGUUGUCGGGAGAGGAGACUUUCUUGGUAACGCAGCUAACGCGUGAAGUUGACCGCCUGGGGAGUACGGCCGCCAGGUUAAAACUCAAA